Molecule: ribosomal RNA, 458 nt
Filed under: uncultured Desulfobulbus sp.
Lineage: Bacteria; Pseudomonadati; Thermodesulfobacteriota; Desulfobulbia; Desulfobulbales; Desulfobulbaceae
Description: bacterial SSU rRNA
Rfam family: Bacterial small subunit ribosomal RNA
Source: RNAcentral
CGGUGGAGUAUGUGGUUAAUUCGAUGCAACGCGAAGAACCUUACCUGGUCUUGACAUCCCGGAGACCCUUAGGAAACUAGGGGGUGCUUCCAUCUGGAAGAAUCUGGAGACAGGUGCUGCAUGGCUGUCGUCAGCUCGUGUCGUGAGAUGUUGGGGUUAAGUCCCGCAACGAGCGCAACCCUUGCCUUUAGUUGCCAGCAGUUCGGCUGGGCACUCUAAAGGGACUGCCGGUGUUAAACCGGAGGAAGGUGGGGAUGACGUCAAGUCCUCAUGGCCUUUAUGACCGGGGCUACACACGUACUACAAUGGCCGAUACAAAGGGCAGCGACACUGCGAGGUGAAGCCAAUCCCGUAAAAUCGGUCUCAGUCCGGAUUGGAGUCUGCAACUCGACUCCAUGAAGUUGGAAUCGCUAGUAAUCGUGGAUCAGCAUGCCACGGUGAAUACGUUCCCGGGCCUU